CGGCGCACGGGUGCGUAACGCGUAUGCAAUCUACCUUUCACAAAGGAAUAGCCCAGAGAAAUUUGGAUUAAUACCUUAUAGUAAUACGACUUGGCAUCAAGAUGUAUUUAAAGAUUUAUCGGUGAAAGAUGAGCAUGCGUCCCAUUAGCUAGUUGGUAAGGUAACGGCUUACCAAGGCAACGAUGGGUAGGGGUCCUGAGAGGGAGAUCCCCCACACUGGUACUGAGACACGGACCAGACUCCUACGGGAGGCAGCAGUGAGGAAUAUUGGACGAUGGGCGCAAGCCUGAUCCAGCCAUGCCGCGUGCAGGAUGACGGUCCUAUGGAUUGUAAACUGCUUUUAUACGAGAAGAAACACUCCGACGUGUCGGAGCUUGACGGUAUCGUAAGAAUAAGGAUCGGCUAACUCCGUGCCAGCAGCCGCGGUAAUACGGAGGAUCCAAGCGUUAUCCGGAAUCAUUGGGUUUAAAGGGUCCGUAGGCGGUCAGGUAAGUCAGUGGUGAAAUCCCCGGGCUCAACCUGGGAAUUGCAUCUGUGAC
This 539-nucleotide ribosomal RNA is filed under the name uncultured Flavobacterium sp. Its description in RNAcentral is "bacterial SSU rRNA". It matches the Rfam family "Bacterial small subunit ribosomal RNA", at positions 96 to 633 of the family's 1533-position model. Lineage: Bacteria; Pseudomonadati; Bacteroidota; Flavobacteriia; Flavobacteriales; Flavobacteriaceae. The record is from RNAcentral.